This is a long non-coding RNA of Gasterosteus aculeatus aculeatus (three-spined stickleback), 6705 nucleotides long. The record is from Ensembl. NCBI's taxonomy places the organism in Eukaryota, Metazoa, Chordata, Actinopteri, Perciformes, Gasterosteidae.
CGUCACAAUUAAAGAGCACUACAAACAGCACAACACGUCAAAAGCCGGUAAUCUGAUGGUAAAUUAUGAAGCACGGUUAAAUGAAAGGGGAGCAUUAGCAGCGGCUGUCAGCCCGCUCGGAUUGAUAGACGGCACCGGUCGCAGCAGACGGGGUGAGGCAUUGAGUCUGGAGCCGUGUGUGUGUAGACAUGUAUUAAAACUAUUAUCAGAGACGUAAAUCGCUUCAUGAGGUGAGCUUGCGUGACGGUUCUGCAUGUCGAACAAUUUGUGUAAGAAGAAGGCGGGUGAAGUGAUUGUAAUGGGGGGCCGGUCCUCUGUCCAGGAAUAGAAACAUGUACGUAUAUUUAUGUAGAGAUACGGGCUCGCGGUUAAAGGCGCUCAAGCAAAAACACUUGGCUGAAUUCCUUUGGAAUAUAUCAGGAACAAGACCAAUGACAGAUAAUAAUAAAGAUAAUUUGGGUGACAUGGAAGCUAAAACGGGAAAUACAUAUUCUGAAAGUAUCACACUGGUUAUAAACACAGUAGCUUCAAGAGAGAAAUAUGAAUUAUUUAUCAGCAUUUUAUGGCUUUUACACACCGUCGGGACUUCCUUUUAUUAUUAGAUUCAUUUGCAUGUCAAUAUGGAUUUUGUAAACUGUAUAAUUCACGAGGAGGCUCCUCUCAGCGACGGGGUCCCGUCAGUGUGACCCUGAGUUGCUUUCUUCGUUCCACCGAUGAACAGAAAAUACGCCGUGAGGGGGUGAAACCCCACAGACAACGCCUGUCAAUCACGGGGUGUCCCGCCUUACGGGUUAUUUUACCCUCUAAAUGGAGCACAAUUCACAAAGUGGACAAAGUUGUGCGUUGAGGACGGCUAGAGAUUGAGGCCGUAAAAGUCACGUGCACAUUGUGUGCAGAGUUGAUGGUCCACGGGAGAACUGGGGCUCAUUUUCUCAUGCACUUCCUUUAAAAACCCAGCGCUCUGGCCCCCAGAAUGUGAGAUCAAGGAGCCCCCCGCGUUGGCUUCACUUUUCACAUCCAAAGACGGCACAGAUGUGAAGUGGGCUGUUUUAGAGUUAACGGGACGUUACAGAUCCGGCAGGAUUAGCUUGAUCCUGGAUGAAACACAGGAGCAACCCGGAAUGAGACGAAGAGUUCACCUUCCCGCCGAGAGCGAAAUGAGAGACCGGUUGGCGAGCGACCUCGUGUGGAGCCACCAACCCGAAAGCCGUCAUCAAACAUCGGCUCUCGUCUCCACCGACAACCAGCAGGUUUCAGGCGGCUCGUCUCCUCGUUCCCACACUGGCUGCAGAGGGAAAGGAGUGCGGGGCCUCCGAAUCAAAAAGCGAAUCAAAAGAAACGAGGGCGGGACCACGCGUGCCGUCAAAGCGUCUGACGGGAAGAGGAGCGCGAUGGAGAGGAAGGUGAGUGGGCAGGUGGAUGCACGCCGGCCUCUUCGAUCUGCCACCGCGAGUCUUAACGGCUGCUUUUCUGCACGGUGCCACGAGGAAUGGCAAAGAUUUCACUCCUCUGCAGCGGGAACAGUACAAAUGAGGAAUAGUUCUUCCUCUGUAGAUUGACGUCUUUGUUGUUGUAUUGAUUUUGCGGGGCUGACAUUUGAGAUGACAGCAAAGAACUUGAAGCUGCGCCGAAGGCCACGACUCCUCCGCUUUAAAUGGAUAUUUCCCAUGUGAAUAGCUCGUCUUUUAUGACCCCGUUUCAACUGCACCACAACAACUCUCUGCAUGUCGCGGGUUAAAAGUGCAUUUUAUCGCGCGCACACACACACACACACGGAGAGGAGAUGCUUUCGUGAUGAGCACAAAGCACCAACACAACGAGAUGCGCGCGGCGGUUUGAAGAGCCAAACCAAGACAGGCGGUCUCCCAGGGGGGGUGGGGGGGGGGUUUGAUUGUACAUUUCUUUUUUGUCGCCAUCACAAGCAAACAAGAAGCGGUUCAGAGAUGGAGUCUAACUCAAAGUACAACAGCACGCCGGCUUUCAUCUUCGUGAUGCGUCUGAUGAGUCAAAAGGUAAAAUGCUUCAUUUCUGAGAGCGUCAAUGCUACAAACAGUCUGAGCUCCAAAAAUCACAUUUUGUUGUGGCUUUGGAUUUGUGCUAAUUGGGGAUGGUGAUAAACUCCAGAAUGAAACUGGGUGUUUGUUCCAAAAAAAAAAAAAAAAGGAAAAGGUUCAACUAUUCUGCUUGCGAGAAUUCGGAUGCGAUACGGAAAACAUACAAAAACACGUUGCAUUUGAAUCCAUAUGUGUGACUAAUGAGCGGAACCGCGCGUGUUCGUGCGCGCGAACUUAGACACACCGAGACGACUCUGAUUAUUCCUGGAUAUGCAGUAAAUUGGAAUAAUUUCCCAUUUGAUGCGCUCUGGCUCAGACCUGUCAGCCCUCCGCCUUCACGCCUCUGCCAGGGAGUCAGAUGACAUCACUCCCGAGCGCACACCCGCCCUCGCGCCCGCGCUCGGGGGUAAAUGCGCCGAGAUUCCUCAGAUGCUCUCGGGUCAAACGCUCUUCACUUAUCCACCGGCUGCCUGAGCCUGAGUGUUUUGAAUUGCUUGUAUGGUAAUUUUGGAGAAACUAUACAUUUAAAAGAGCCCAUUUCUUUGGCCCGUGAGGAGAUACGGGCGGUUCAGGUCAGGAUAUUGAGCCACUGGAACCCAUACAGCCUCACCUGCUUCUCCAUUCGCUGCUCAUUUAGCGGCAGAAAGGCGGGUGGAGAUGAAGGCAGGAGCGAGCCGCUGGAGCGCCAAGCGGUCCGUGUAUCCGAAGCGAGCUCCAUCAUUUGAAAGAAUAUUACUGCUGCAACUUAAACCUGGAGCCGGGCCCGCAGCCCAAAGCAUUCUGCACUCUUAAUCUGUUACUCGCUCUCUUUCUCCCUCCUACCAACGCUUUCUUUCUUUCUUUCUUUCUUUCUUUUCCCUUUUUCCCCUCUUUCCUUUCCGAUCUCACUCACUCUCCCACCUCAUCAUCUAAUCCAGCCGGAGGGAAGAGCCGUGUGUUUGUGUGAAAGAUGAGCCGGUCUUAGCCUCGCUCUAACCCCCUGACCCCGCCCGACACACACACACACACACACACACUCUCAUAUGAAAACACCAGUCCGUUAGCACACAUGCCAACUGUACCCGGGCACCCAAACCAAAACAACACCCCCCUGAUUGACGCACACGUGGCUGGCUGAGGGCGCCGGUGCUGUGAUUAGCAGGGCGGGGUUAUGAUGGGGGGGGGCGAGCGUGCAUUUAUUAUACAUCCAACAAAAGAACCUUUGGAGGAAAUGCUAAUCCAAACACAGAUGAAAUAUUCAUGGCGCAUGGCUGUGUGGUUCACCUCUUUCUGCUCUUUAACCAGAUAAGAUCCGUGCGGGGUUAAAGCAGAAGUAAAUGAGACAGUGAGAGGGUGGGGGGGGGGAGCAGAGGAAAAAGGAGAAGUGAUGUAGUGAAGCAUGAAAUCAUGACUGGCUGGUGUAAUUUAGCUCUUGGAUGGAGCUCACGGGCUUCCUUCGCCUUAGGCCCGCUAUCGAUGCACACUACCAAACGCACACACAGGCGCGCACACACAGCGCAGCACGUCCGUAACAAAACAUGCGUGCUGCAAAUAAUUAAAAGCGCUGUGUUAUCUUCACGCGGCCUUUUUGGAAACGCCGCUCGUGUUCCUCGACGCUUCUCCUCAUGCUCCCUCCGCUGCGCAUCCGUCGUAUAGGAGGCCACAACACCUCCACCCGCCGUCCCUGCGGGUGGAGAGACAACAGAGAGAAGAGGGACGCUUCUCCGGGCUUCUACGGGACUGGAUGGAUGUCUGGUAGGAACAUCAGGAGCUGAUCAGGUGGAAAGCGGAGCAGGGAUUCAGCUUUCAAGGGAAAUGAGUUCCAGCAGAGGGAGACGGCUGGUAAACCUUCAUAUCAGGCCGGGUCAGGAGGUGUGUGUGUGUGUGUGUGUGUGUGUUUGUGUGUGUGUGUGUGUUGUAGGGCUUAUUCAGUGUGUGUAAUGCAACGUUUAACAUUUAAGGAAACUGCAGCUGUGAUCUGAUAUUUUGCUGCCGUAGUGAUGCAGAUAAACAUGACAGCAUAGCGACACACACACACACAAAACGCACACAAGCACAGGCAUCUACAAGAAAUAUCUACUCUCAAAAAAACACACAAAGAACAUCAUCACACACCAGACACACAAUCACGCACACAAAAGAUCAAUAAAAGACCCUAUUAGGCCUCAUCCCAUCAUAUCUGAGCCCACCUCAUCCCUGACCUCACACCAUAAAAGUUUAACACGCCUUGGUGUGCGUGAGCACACGCCGCGGUGUCAUUACAGCCGCUCUAAUAGGGUUGUGCGAGUGUGGUGGCUCCUCUGGGUUUAUUUGCACGGUGUUUCCUCUGCAGAUGGAGGCUUUACAAGCCCAGGAGCCCCGUUAUUGGCCUCCUGUCACCGUCCCAGCGAGCCGCGUUGAAUCUAUAACCAGCUGACAGCUGAGCAGACACUCAAGGACUCUCCAGAAACUAUCGCACAGCGAGAGAAACACUGUUGCCAUCACCCUGGGGGGGGGGGGGGCGGGGGAACCAGGCUUUACAAGCUACUCAACGGACAAUGCUCAUGAUGAUUAUCGCAUGCACGGUGCUUCCCUGCGACACACAAUGAGCACAGAUGCAUUGGUGCUCAGGCCCCGUCCACAUCACGGCGGGUAAUUGCCAAUGCGUAUUUCCUCGCGUGCCUGACUGGCAGUGGAUUGGAUUCUAGCGCCAGUUGCAGAACCAUUAAUAGAAAUUAAGUGCCAGCGAGGGCUACUGGAGGGAGACCAGUGGAGCUGGAAUGGAGUUUAUGUGAAAGAUAAAUACAUUUCUGCAGAAGAGUGCCCCCGUUUAUUGGUUGGGAAAUGCACUGUGAUAUGAUAGAGGGGCACCGAAUGAGUGCAGAAUGGGACGAUACGGCUGAGAGGAAAGAGAAUGCGGCGGAAUUAGAGGCCUGACUUGAAUAGCAAAUGCGGCCCGACAGAGUUGGGUCGCAGCUCGGGUUCCACGUUUUGCGAGUGUUGAGUCGAGAAUCGUCAAACGGGUUCGCUUAAAUGUGCCGGGUGCGCGUUCCGCCAUCCAACGGGGUAUUUCCACCAAAACUCAAUCCGUCGCUCGGGGUCUGCCGUCCAGUUAUUAUUAUCCGUCACCCCUCGAGUGUCGCUCCCUCCUGGCUGGCUGGUGUCAGACAGAUUACAUACUCAUCGCACACACGCGCCCGCGAGAGUGCACGCACACACACACACGCGCACUCUCCCGGGCUGAUACGAAUCCAGCCUCAUCCCGGACUGUCUAAUGGGCCUAAUAACGACGAGUCACUGGGGGCCUCGCGCGUGUCAGGCAGAUUACAGCGGGCACGGCGACUGGAUGGACAGCUCCUUGGCAGCGACACGCACACACUGACACGUGCAGACACACACGCACACACACACAGACACACACACACGCACGCACACGACUCCCGGGGCCUCGGCUCAAGAGGUGCAAUGUGCUCCGUGACCACUAGGAGGCAAAGGUGAGCUUUGGCACGCGGAGCCGGCGAGCGCCUGAAGGACCUGCCGAUGGGCCGAGAUGUGGGAUCUUCAGUCGGACACACGAGCUUUUCCCUUUGUCACGUUGUUCUGCUGAGCAACACGGCCGACCGUGGAUGAGACCUUGUUGUGGGCUCGCCGCUCUUAUUAAACUGCUGGUGUGGAUUCCUGAUUCUCCCUGACACUUUGUUCCUAUAAGGCAUUGAACGGUUACUGAAUGCGCCCAUCGAGCAGCCCGAGGGCCACAGCUGGUCAUUAAAGUGAACAUUUCUUACAGGAAGGACACAAGAUCUGUGUCUCUUCACUUAUCUCCUUGUUAAUCUGCAUCUCAGACAUGCUUUUGAUUGCUUACUGUAAUGCUCGGUAUAGUUCGCUGUGGUUGGCAGUGCAAUACCUGUGAACGUGGAUCAGGUGGCGCAGAAAGCUUUAGAUAUGAGUCACGCAGCCACUCGUCUCCAGCGUUCACCAGCAGUUUUUCUACCCCAGCACCAUGUGGGAAGUCUGGUUCACCUUCAGAUUGUUGAUGAAAGAGACACACAGAGACAAAAAGAUACGUCAACCAGACAAAAAUAGAAAACUACAACAACGCGCACGGCGAAUGGCUCAAAGGCGAAAAACCACCACUAGAAAAACACACUUCACCAAGACAGCAAUUGUCCCACAGUGACGACAGAAAAGAGACACGGAGCGACUACAUGGAGACAAAAGUACCAAAGAGCCACACGGUUAAAAUCCCUUCACAAGAUAUACAACACAAAGAGUCGACAUUGAGACAAAAAACUGACCCAAAGAAUAAGAAUAAACCCAAAAUGACCAUGAAGAGAGACGAUCUACAAAGACCCCUAAAACAACUACAAAAUGACGGGGUUCUGCCUCGGUGUCUGAGGGGGGGGUGACGUGCUGCUCGGGGAUCUCUUGUCUCAAAAUCCGUCAUUUGCUACAAAAAGCCAAAGAAAAUUCCAUUAAACACAAAUGAGCCCAAUGUCAAACUUAAAAGCGGCAGCUCAGUUGAUCAAACGCAGGGUGCGAGCCACAGGGGGCCACAGGGGGCCACGGGGGGCCACGGGGGGCCACGGGGGCCUGGAGCCCGGCUCCUGGAGCCACGAGCUCCGAGGCGGAUCCCGUGUCAGGAGGGAAGGCCGGGGAGACGUCCGCGUGCCGGCUUGGGGACGUGGACGGGGGG